AAAAAAUGAUUAGUUGAUUACACUGAGUGUAUGCUGACUCAGUUUCUCGUCUUUGCUUCCAAACUCUAACAUAACAUCCUUAAUUUCUUCAAACUCAAUUCCUAGUACCACUCCACCAUACGAGGAUGUCGCAGCUUUCCAUUCAACGAGCAAAUAAGUUGAAGAUUUUGAUGCCUCAGAUCUCUGCUUUGGGAAGUUACCAUUUCUCAACAGCGGCUCAAUCAUCUUCCAUUAAACCCAAUGCUCCGAGAGUUCCAAAUCUUAUUGGGGGAAGGUUUCUUGAGUCAAAAUCAUCAUUUGGCUUCCAAAUCUUUGUAGAAGUAGAACUCUGAGGAACCUCUCCACCAGCUAUGUCACUAUCUUCUGUUCCUUUGGUUUCAACUGUGGCAGAUAAUGCCUGUGGACUUGGCUCAAUUAUAGGCAUGACAGGAAUAUCCUGCAACAUCCAAAUGUUAGUAUAGAGACCAAGUACUUCAUGCAAGCCGACCCAAUAUAAUUGGGAAAAUACACAUUUUCUGAAAUUUUCAAUAUAAAACUAUGGUUAUUAUUCAUGCAUACAAUUGAGAAAAUAAAUUAUGUUGUUUUCAUUGCCUACAAA
Trifolium pratense (red clover) is the source of this 598-nucleotide long non-coding RNA. RefSeq lists it as uncharacterized. Lineage: Eukaryota; Viridiplantae; Streptophyta; Magnoliopsida; Fabales; Fabaceae. The record is from RefSeq and is a predicted model, not a curated record. The transcript has 3 exons.